UCCUUGCUUCUAAUCCAAUUAGCUGAGGAAAAAGAAACUAACAAGGAUUCCCUUAGUAACGGCGAGUGAAGCGGGAAGAGCUCAAAUUUGAAAUCUUCAAGGUUUUACCUUGACGAAUUGUAGUUUAAAGAAGUGUUUUCUGUUGAAGUUUUGGUAAAAGUUCUUUGGAAUAGGACAUCAUAGAGGGUGAGAAUCCCGUAUUUGACCAUUAUUUUCAGCUGUGUGAUACACUUUCAAAGAGUCGGAUUGUUUGGGAAUGCAGUCCAAAAUGGGUGGUAAAUUUCAUCUAAAGCUAAAUAUUGGCGAGAGACCGAUAGCGAACAAGUACCGUGAGGGAAAGAUGAAAAGAACUUUGAAAAGAGAGUUAAACAGUACGUGAAAUUGUCAAAAGGGAAGCGUUUGACACCAGUGUUGUUUUCUCGAAAAUCAAUUAAAAAAAGUUGGAUUUUGUGUUGUAUUGACCUUAACAGCUUGCUUCACUCUUUUCCUGCUUUUUUUAAUGCACUUUUCGUUUAACAAGUCAACAUCAGUUUCUUUUGUUGUAAAAGGGUCAUUGGAAGGUGGCUUUCUCUUCGGAGAAAGUGUUUAUAGCCUUUGAUCUCUGCAAUCGGAGAGACUGAGGUCUGCAGCGUAGAUCCUUCGGGGUUAGAUACAUUUGUGCUAAGCUACAGCUUUUCAUAGACAACUUGUUGACUAUGUUUAGUCUUGUAACUUACCCGCUUAUGCUAUUUUACCUACGCUUAGGAUGUUGACAAAAUGGUUUUAAACGACCCGUCUUGAAAAAAAAGCCACACAAAA
This 798-nucleotide ribosomal RNA is filed under the name Piromyces sp. 8 GRL-9. RNAcentral's name for it is "LSU rRNA". It matches the Rfam family "Eukaryotic large subunit ribosomal RNA", at positions 1 to 675 of the family's 3401-position model. The record is from RNAcentral. Lineage: Eukaryota; Fungi; Neocallimastigomycota; Neocallimastigomycetes; Neocallimastigales; Neocallimastigaceae.